This 250-nucleotide ribosomal RNA is filed under the name Anabaena sphaerica CG13. RNAcentral describes it as "partial 16S ribosomal RNA". It matches the Rfam family "Bacterial small subunit ribosomal RNA", at positions 65 to 340 of the family's 1533-position model. Lineage: Bacteria; Bacillati; Cyanobacteriota; Cyanophyceae; Nostocales; Nostocaceae. The record is from RNAcentral.
AACGGAAUGCUUAGGCAUUUAGUGGCGGACGGGUGAGUAACGCGUGAGAAUUUGGCCUUCAGGUCGGGGACAAAGUUGGAAACGACUGCUAAUACCGGAUAUUGCCGGAAGGUGAAAAGAUUUAUUGCCUGGAGAUAAGCUCGCGUCUGAUUAGCUAGUUAGGUGGGGUAAGAGCCUACCAAGGCGACGAUCAGUAGCUGGUCUGAGAGGAUGAUAGCCACACUGGGACUGAGACACGGCCCAGACCCUU